Molecule: long non-coding RNA, 254 nt
Organism: Cyprinus carpio (common carp)
Lineage: Eukaryota; Metazoa; Chordata; Actinopteri; Cypriniformes; Cyprinidae
Exons: 2
Source: RefSeq, a predicted model, not a curated record
UUUGCUGUAAUGUUACAUCAUUUAUCCAACAUCCUUUGAAAGAAAUGCACAUAAAUCGAAAUGUGAAGAGGAUGUUCAUGUGGUGUAUGCUCCUGUCACUAUAAGAGAAGAUGAUCUUAAACCUCUUCUAGUAUCAGAUCCAGCUGUGUCCUCGUCUUCACCAGGAAUCUCCCGCCAUAACUUCAGAUUCUAAGUCAAUGGUUGAGUUUUAGGAUUAGUGAGAAUCACCACAUAUAUCUGUAUGUUGGCUCCAA